AUAGCGUAUAUUAAAGUUGUUGCAGUUAAAAAGCUCGUAGUUGGAUUUGUGGCUGUCGUGCGCUUUUCUUCUCAAUGAGUUGAUGUAGUGUCGCGUCGCCAUCCUGGGGUGGAUCCUGUGUGGCAUUAGGUCGUCGUGCAGGGGAUGCCCAUCGUUUACUGUGAAAAAAUUAGAGUGUUCAAAGCAGGCUUAUGCCGUUGAAUAUAUUAACAUGGAAUAAUAAGAUAGGACCUGGGUACUAUUUUGUUGGUUUGCGCACCAAGGUAAUGAUUAAUAGGGUCAGUUGGGGGUAUUCGUAUUCCAUUGUCAGAGGUGAAAUUCUUGGAUUUUUGGACACGAACGUACUGCGAAAGCAUUUACCAAGGAUUUUGUC
Molecule: ribosomal RNA, 373 nt
Filed under: Nitzschia sigmoidea
Lineage: Eukaryota; Bacillariophyta; Bacillariophyceae; Bacillariales; Bacillariaceae
Description: SSU rRNA
Rfam family: Eukaryotic small subunit ribosomal RNA
Source: RNAcentral